Equus caballus (horse) is the source of this 2187-nucleotide long non-coding RNA. The record is from Ensembl. Lineage: Eukaryota; Metazoa; Chordata; Mammalia; Perissodactyla; Equidae.
CCCCGCCCCGCGCGCGCGCCCCGCCUCCGGAGCUGGGGCUGGAGGCCCCGGGGCUCCGGGCGAGCCGUCAGAGGCCAGGGAGCCUCGGCGGCGGCCGGCGCACACGCAGCCCCGGGCGGCCCAGCGAAGCGAGGGCGAGGCGAGGGGCGCGUCCACGGCCGAGCUCGAGCGGACGCUGGUUCCUCCUCCCGCGCGGGCUCCCGGGACAAUACGACACUGACCCUGGUCGUCGUCACGCUCCUUGCCCGGGAGCCGCGGCCGCCGGCUGGAAAGCAGAGGCCCGGGCGUGAGCGCCCCCCCUCCGGCAGGCCGCGCGGUAGCGCCGUCCCCGCGUCGCCCGCAUAAGGCAAGCGAGAAGGGACGCACUUCUGCCGCCUCGCAAAGCGGGGCGGAGCGGGCCGGCCGCUGGGGUUCGGUGGCGGGGGCCUGCCCGGAUCCCCCGAGGCGAGGAGGAUCGGGGCCUCGCAGCCUCCUCGCGACGGGCCAAGACCCUCUGGAGGAGGACAGCAAGUGAGGACUGGGGCGCCUGGAGGUCGCUCAGAUUCUCGCCCCCGGAGAGCGAGGAGGGGCUGCCUCUGCCAGCCGCCGCCCGCGAGCAGGGCACUCCGGCACGGAGGCUCCCCUGGGCGCUGCCGUUCCCCGGAGGGAUAGGGAGCCUCCUAGCGGGACCCGGCGCGCUCUUGACCCCAACGCGGAGCGACGGCUCCGACUCCGCCCUGCGGGCUGAGGGUCCCUCUGAACCCGAGCCCUGGCGGCUUCCUGCCGCCACCUGGUCAUCGGGAGACGGCGAGUGGGGUCGGGGGUGAAGGCCGCAGAGAGGAGCACGCGCUUCCAGAGCGUCCAGGAGAACUCGCUGAAAUAUGCCGCCCAGACAUGCCACACUGCAGGGUGUCCUUGGAGAUGCUGGGAAAAGAGAAGAACGGCGUACAGACGAGCUUAGAAUGCGGGAACGAGUGAGGCUGGAGGGAAAGUAGUCGCUCCCGCUACCCCUGUCCAGGAGGAAGGUGCUGAUUGCAGCUUCCAGUCCUCUGGGCCGAGAGCAGGGGUUGCCGCUCCCAGCGCCGUCCUGCCUGGGCGCGGUCCCCGCCGCGUGUGCAAGAUUCCAGAACUACCGGUCAAACUAGGCCCUGGAGGUUUACUUCAAGCUCCAGUCCCAGGGGCCCCUCCAGCCUCUCCCCAACAUGGCUGUAUUGACGAGAGCAGCAGAUAGUGAUGAGAGCCAUGGCUGUUCCCUCCCCACCUGAACAAAGAAGAGAAAGGCUCAUACUGGUCUUUCUGGAGGUUAAAGAGCAACAGGAGGGCUUCACUUGAUUGACAAAUCUAGAUGACCUGCGUAUUCUGUGGAAUUAGGCUUUGACAUUUUCAUCCAGGUACCCACGGUCUGUGAUGUACAAUAGUUUGACUUAACGAUCAUUCGACUUUACAGUGGUGAAAAAAAAUAUGCAUUCUGUAGAAACUGUACUUGGAAUUUUGAAUGUUGAUCUUUUCCAAGGCUGCUGAUAUGCGGCCUGAUGCUCUCAUGAUGCUGGGCACUGGCAGUGAGCCACAGCUCCUGGUCACCACUCUGUCACAAGGGUAAACAUCCAGUGCACUUGCAGCCACUCUGUGCCCAGACAACCAUGCUGAGUUUCCCUCUCAGUACAGUAUUCAAUAAAUUACAUGAGGUUGGGGCCAGCCUGGUGGCACAGCAGUUAAGUUCACACGUUCUGCUUCGGUGGCCCAGGGUUCGCAGGCUUGGAUCCCAGGUGCAGACCUUUACACCACUUGUCAGGCCAUGCUGUGGCAGGUGUCCCACAUAUAAAGCAGAGAAAGAUGGGCACAGAUGUUAGCUCAGGGCCAGUCUUCCUCAGCAAAAAGAGGAGGAUUGGCGGCAGAUGUUAGCUCAGGGAUAACCUUCCUCAAAAACAAAUAAAUAAAUAAACUACAUGAGGUAUUAACACUUUAUUGUAAAAUAGGCUUCGUGUAAGAUGUUUUGCCCAAGUGUAGGCUAACGUAGGUGUUCUGAGCACAUUUAAGGUAGGCUAGGCUAAGCUAAGAUGUUCAGUAGGUUAGAUGUAUUAAAUGCAUUUUCGACUUAUGUUAUUUUCAACUUUCAAUGGGUUUAUCGGGAUGUAACCCCACUGCAAGUCAGGGAAGAUCUGUAGUUCAUUUGUGUGAAAAUCAAUAAAAUGAUUUUUCAAGCAGACC